This 253-nucleotide ribosomal RNA is filed under the name uncultured bacterium. RNAcentral describes it as "partial 16S ribosomal RNA". It matches the Rfam family "Bacterial small subunit ribosomal RNA", at positions 524 to 776 of the family's 1533-position model. The record is from RNAcentral.
UACGUAGGGCGCAAGCGUUGUCCGGAAUUAUUGGGCGUAAAGAGCUCGUAGGUGGCUUGUCACGUCGGGUGUGAAAGCUUGGGGCUUAACUCCAGGUCUGCAUUCGAUACGGGCUGGCUAGAGGUAGGUAGGGGAGAACGGAAUUCCUGGUGUAGCGGUGAAAUGCGCAGAUAUCAGGAGGAACACCGGUGGCGAAGGCGGGUCUCUGGGCCGAUACUGACGCUGAGGAGCGAAAGCGUGGGGAGCAAACAGG